GCAGAAGGGAAACGUGAAGAAGGUGAAGAUGGCGGUGGCCAGGACCGGGGUCCUGGGAGUCCAGUGGCUGCAAAGGGCAUCCUGGAACAUGAUGCCGCUGGGCGCACGGACAGCCUCCCACAUGACCAAGGACAUGUUCCCGGGGCCCUAUCCUAGGACCCCAGAAGAACGGGCUGCCGCCGCCAAGAAGUAUAAUAUGCGUGUGGAAGACUACGAACCUUACCCGGAUGAUGGCAUGGGGUGAGACAGAGAGGGUCUGCUCGCACCCAAGUAGUGAUGGGAGAAGACCGGCUGGGUUGGGUGGCUUGACUGUGACCUUUUCUCCCGAACCUUCUCGUGACCCCUCGGAGUCAAUGGAGUGGGUGCUUUUCUCUGUGGAGGGAGGUGGGAGGGGGUGGGUGAGCAGCUGCAGCUGAGAGGACUUCAAUUUUCUCCUUGGCUCAGGCUGUUUCCUCAAAUGAGGAAGCCCAGGUUUUAAUGGCUCCCUCGAGGACCCCCGAAUAGCAGGAGCCUUCCUUGGCUCUAUCCAGAGCGUCGAGUUUCAUUUAGGUUGAGCAUCUGCUGUGCUCAGGUGCU
This 576-nucleotide small RNA is filed under the name Pongo abelii (Sumatran orangutan). RNAcentral's name for it is "retained intron". Lineage: Eukaryota; Metazoa; Chordata; Mammalia; Primates; Hominidae. The record is from RNAcentral.